Molecule: unclassified non-coding RNA, 253 nt
Filed under: uncultured Gammaproteobacteria bacterium
Lineage: Bacteria; Pseudomonadati; Pseudomonadota; Gammaproteobacteria
Description: contains 16S-23S intergenic spacer region
Rfam family: Bacterial small subunit ribosomal RNA
Source: RNAcentral
UACAGAGGGUGCAAGCGUUAAUCGGAAUUACUGGGCGUAAAGCGCAUGUAGGUGGUUUAUUGAGUUUGAUGUGAAAUCCCUGGGCUUAACCUGGGAAUGGCGUUGAAUACUGAUAGACUAGAGUUUGACAGAGGGUCGUGGAAUUUCCGGUGUAGCGGUGAAAUGCGUAGAGAUCGGAAAGAACACCAGUGGCGAAGGCGGCGACCUGGGUUGAAACUGACACUGAGGUGCGAAAGCGUGGGGAGCAAACAGG